CGUAGCGUCUUCUGCGGCUCAUUUUAUAACAACUAGUUAAAGUAAUAGUAACGAAAUAAUACGAACAAAAAAAAACUUUACAACAACGGAUCUCUUGGCUUGCUCAUCGAUGAAGAACGCAGCGAAAUGUGAUAAGUAAUGUGAAUUGCAGAAUUCAGUGAAUCAUCGAAUCUUUGAACGCACCUUGCGCUCCCUGGUAUUCCGGGGAGCAUGUCUGUUUGAGUGUCAUGAACUCUUCAACCCACCAGUUUCUUGUAGACUGAUUGGUGUUUGGAUUUUGAGCGUUGCUGGUCUUCGGAUCUAGCUCGUUCGUAAUAAAUUAGCAUCUCUAAUUCGAACUCGGAUUGACUCAGUGUAAUAGACUAUUCGCUGAGGACACGCUCUUGUAGUGUGGCCGAAUGAGAUCUCAGUAGAAGCUUCCAACUACUUUAGUCAACUUUAGAUUAGACCUCAGAUCAGGCAGGAUUACCCGCUGAACUUAA
RNAcentral lists this ribosomal RNA (482 nucleotides) under uncultured fungus. RNAcentral's name for it is "eukaryotic LSU rRNA". The stretch from base 75 to 228 matches the Rfam family "5.8S ribosomal RNA". Lineage: Eukaryota; Fungi. The record is from RNAcentral.